Molecule: non-coding RNA, 26 nt
Filed under: Homo sapiens (human)
Lineage: Eukaryota; Metazoa; Chordata; Mammalia; Primates; Hominidae
Source: RNAcentral
UUGCAAGAUGGAAUGCAGAGUGUGAC